AGUCUCCCUUUAUUGCCCAGGCUGGACUGCAGUGGCGUGAUCUCGGCUCACUGCAAGCUCCGCCUCCCGGAUUCAAGCGAUUCUUCUGCCUCAGCCUGCGAUUCUUCUGCCUCAGCCCGCGAUUCUUCUGCCUCAGCCUCCCGAGUAGCUAGGACUACAGGUGCGACAAGAUAAUGAACCUCCAUUCCUCUGAGAGAAGAGUAUUUUGAAUAUUCGACUUUGCCCAUGAAUUUCCC
RNAcentral lists this long non-coding RNA (236 nucleotides) under Pan troglodytes (chimpanzee). Its description in RNAcentral is "long non-coding RNA NONPTRT003612". Lineage: Eukaryota; Metazoa; Chordata; Mammalia; Primates; Hominidae. The record is from RNAcentral.